RNAcentral lists this ribosomal RNA (253 nucleotides) under uncultured bacterium. RNAcentral describes it as "partial 16S ribosomal RNA". It matches the Rfam family "Bacterial small subunit ribosomal RNA", at positions 524 to 776 of the family's 1533-position model. The record is from RNAcentral.
UACGAAGGGGGCUAGCGUUGUUCGGAAUUACUGGGCGUAAAGCGCACGUAGGCGGAUAUUUAAGUCAGGGGUGAAAUCCCAGAGCUCAACUCUGGAACUGCCUUUGAUACUGGGUAUCUCGAGUAUGGAAGAGGUGAGUGGAAUUCCGAGUGUAGAGGUGAAAUUCGUAGAUAUUCGGAGGAACACCAGUGGCGAAGGCGGCUCACUGGCUCGGUACUGACGCUGAGGUGCGAAAGCGUGGGGAGCAAACAGG